RNAcentral lists this ribosomal RNA (550 nucleotides) under uncultured Gallionellaceae bacterium. RNAcentral describes it as "bacterial SSU rRNA". It matches the Rfam family "Bacterial small subunit ribosomal RNA", at positions 355 to 896 of the family's 1533-position model. The record is from RNAcentral. Lineage: Bacteria; Pseudomonadati; Pseudomonadota; Betaproteobacteria; Nitrosomonadales; Gallionellaceae.
UGGGGAAUUUUGGACAAUGGGCGCAAGCCUGAUCCAGCCAUGCCGCGUGAGUGAAGAAGGCCUUCGGGUUGUAAAGCUCUUUCAGCUGGAAAGAAAUCGCAUUGAUUAAUACUCAGUGCGGAUGACGGUACCAGCAGAAGAAGCACCGGCUAACUACGUGCCAGCAGCCGCGGUAAUACGUAGGGUGCGAGCGUUAAUCGGAAUUACUGGGCGUAAAGCGUGCGCAGGCGGCUUUUUAAGCCAGAUGUGAAAUCCCCGGGCUUAACCUGGGAACUGCAUUUGGAACUGGAAGGCUAGAGUGUAGCAGAGGGGGGUAGAAUUCCACGUGUAGCAGUGAAAUGCGUAGAGAUGUGGAGGAAUACCGAUGGCGAAGGCAGCCCCCUGGGCUAACACUGACGCUCAUGCACGAAAGCGUGGGGAGCAAACAGGAUUAGAUACCCUGGUAGUCCACGCCCUAAACGAUGUCAACUAGGUGUUGGGGAAGGAGACUUCUUUAGUACCGCAGCUAACGCGUGAAGUUGACCGCCUGGGGAGUACGGUCGCAAGAUUA